AGUGAACGCUGGCGGUAGGCCUAACACAUGCAAGUCGAACGGCAGCACAGUAAGAUCUUGCUCUUACGGGUGGCGAGUGGCGGACGGGUGAGGCAUACAUCGGAAUCUACUUUUUCGUGGGUGAUAACGUAGGGAAACUUACGCUACUACCGCAUACGACCUACGGCUGAAAGCAGUGGAUCUUCGGACCUUUCGCGAUUGAAUGAGCCGAUGUCGGAUUAGCUAGUUGGCGGGGUAAAGGCCCACCAAGGCGACGAUCCGUAGCUGGUCUGAGAGGAUGAUCGGCCACACUGGAACUGAGACACGGUCCAGACUCCUACGGGAGGCAGCAGUGGGGAAUAUUGGACAAUGGGCGCAAGCCUGAUCCAGCCAUACCGCGUGGGUGAAGAAGGCCUUCGGGUUGUAAAGCCCUUUUGUUGGGAAAGAAAAGCAGCAGGUUAAUACCCCGCUGUUCUGACGGUACCCAAAGAAUAAGCACCGGCUAACUUCGUG
Molecule: ribosomal RNA, 492 nt
Filed under: uncultured bacterium
Lineage: Bacteria
Description: partial 16S ribosomal RNA
Rfam family: Bacterial small subunit ribosomal RNA
Source: RNAcentral